Molecule: long non-coding RNA, 1383 nt
Filed under: Gallus gallus (chicken)
Lineage: Eukaryota; Metazoa; Chordata; Aves; Galliformes; Phasianidae
Source: RNAcentral
AGGUGCAUCCCUCCCUUUGGGAAAUAACCCUGGGCAGAACCCUCAGAACCUCUGCCACGCAAACAGAGCUGGACCCGACCCCACCUGCACCUGCUGCAGUGGGUGGAUGUCCCUGCAGCCCCGUUCUUCCUUUGUGUUCUCUAUGGGUGGGCUUUGUGCCGCGGGGGGUUCACACAGUGAGAGUGAGUUAUUGAAGGCUGAGACCUCAUUUCUUCUCUUCGAUCCGUACAGCCCACGAGUGAUGGGUUCAUAACUCGUUGCUGUUGGAAAAGCUUUUGUCUAAUGGUCAUUGGGCCUGGGAUGCCUGAUAAAGUGGUGUGGAAAGCCAGGAUUUAGGGUCAUUGGGGACCUUCUGGUGUUUGGGGUCACGAUCUUUUCCCCAGCCUUUGAGUAGUGCUGAGAGCUGUGCUUUUUCUUACAAGUAUCAUGCAAAGCCUUGCCGUUCUCACCCCAGGUCCUUCCAGUACCGGAGGGAGCCUAUAAACAGGAGGGGAGCCAACUCUUUGGAGGGUACAUAAUGGCAGGAGAAGGGGAAACGGUUUUAAGUUGAAGGAGGGAAGAUUUAGGUUGGAUAUCGGGGAGAAGUUCUUUACUAUGAGGGCGGUGAGGUGAUGGAACAGCUGCCCAAAGAGGUUGCAGAUGCUCCAUCUUUAGAGGUGUUCAAGGCCAGGUUGGAUGGGGCCCUGGGCAGCCUGGGCUGCUAUUAGAUAUGGAGGUUGGUGGCCCUGCAUGCAGCAGUGGGGUUGGAGCUUCACGAUCCUUGAGGUGCCUUCCAACCCAAGCCGUUCUGUGGUUCUAUUUCUCACGUAGUGGCAGUGCAGCAGGGCUAUGGGCUCAGCCUCGACGUGGGGGGACCCAACACCUCCCCUGCUGCCUGCCCACACCUCGCUGCCCUCGUUUUGCUCUGAGCUUUCCAUGUGCGUGAGCGGGCAGCUCGUUUUAACACGUUGCCUCGUGUUUCCCCACCUGCAAAAUGCCACAUCCGUGGGGCGAGCGUGGGUGCAAAGCCACGUGCUGAGCGUGGGGCCGCGCCGAUGUGUGCGUGGGGAGAGAGGGCUGAGCAAAGCUGCGAUGCUCAGCUCCAUCCGUGACCCCAUCCCGGGGGCUGCCCUAUGUGCCAAGGGACAGCACGUCGGCUGGGAGCUGUGGGUCUGCCCGUGCUGAGCAGCUCGGGGCAGGGCUGCUUCCUUGCCGUGUUCAUUCACGCUGCCCGGCUCGGAGGUGCCGCCGUGCGUCAUGCGGCAGCUUGUGCUGGGGAUUUGGCUGGGUUAUCCCUGUAAUUCGCCGGCUGUGGGAAUGCUGGAGCCGGGGGGAGGGCUGGGAGUGAGCGUGCUGCAGGUGGGGGCCCUGUGGGUGCAGUGUGUGUGCCAGCAGGGAGCUGGG